RNAcentral lists this ribosomal RNA (554 nucleotides) under Aphaenogaster dulcineae. RNAcentral's name for it is "partial 16S ribosomal RNA". It matches the Rfam family "Bacterial large subunit ribosomal RNA", at positions 1797 to 2621 of the family's 2925-position model. The record is from RNAcentral. Lineage: Eukaryota; Metazoa; Arthropoda; Insecta; Hymenoptera; Formicidae.
CACCUGUUUAUCAAAAACAUAGCUUUUUGAUUAUAAUUUAAGGUUAUUUCUGCCCUAUGAAAUUUUUAAAUGGCUGCAGUAUAUUGACUGUGCUAAGGUAGCAUAAUCAAUUGUUUCUUAAUUAGAAACUUGGAUGAAAGAAAAAAUGAGAUUUAAGCUGUCUCAAGUUAAAAUUUAUAAAUUAUUUUUUAAGUAAAAAAACUUAAAUAAUAUUAUGGGACGAGAAGACCCUAUAGAAUUUUAAAUAAUUUUAUUAUGAGAUUUUUAUAUUAUAUUGAUAAUAAUAAUUAUUUUUAGUUGGGAGGAUGGUUAAAUUAUUAUAACUUUAAUUAAUAAAUAUCAUUUAUUAAUGAUUUUUAGAGAAUGAUUAAUGACUUAUAAUUAAUAAAGAAUUAAUUACCUUAGGGAUAACAGCGUAAUAUUUUUAGAGAGAUCAUAUUAAUAAAAAUGAUUGCGACCUCGAUGUUGAAUUAAGGUAAAAAUUAGGUGUAGAAGCUUAAUAUUUAGGUCUGUUCGACCUUUAAAAUCUUACAUGAUUUGAGUUCAAAUCGACG